RNAcentral lists this ribosomal RNA (600 nucleotides) under uncultured bacterium. RNAcentral's name for it is "bacterial SSU rRNA". It matches the Rfam family "Bacterial small subunit ribosomal RNA", at positions 89 to 665 of the family's 1533-position model. The record is from RNAcentral.
UUGAGAGCGGCAUACGGGUGCGGAACACUGUGUGCACUGCUUUUAUCUGGGGGAUAGCCUUUCGAAAGGAAGAUUAAUACCCCAUAAUAUGUUGAAUGGCAUCAUUCGACAUUGAAAACUCCGGUGGAUAGAGAUGGGCACGCGCAAGAUUAGAUAGUUGGUGAGGUAACGGCUCACCAAGUCUACGAUCUUUAGGGGGCCUGAGAGGGUGAUCCCCCACACUGGUACUGAGACACGGUACCAGACUCAUACGGGAGGCAGCAGUGAGGAAUAUUGGACAAUGGGUGAGAGCCUGAUCCAGCCAUCCCGCGUGAAGGACGACUGCCCUAUGGGUUGUAAACUUCUUUUGUAUAGGGAUAAACCUACCCUCGUGAGGGUAGCUGAAGGUACUAUACGAAUAAGCACCGGCUAANUCCGUGCCAAGCCAGCCGCGGUAAUACCGGAGGGUGCAAGGCGUUAUCCGGAUUAUGGGGUUCUUCAAAAGGGGUCCGUAAGGCGGGAUCCUGUCAAGUCCAGUGGUGAAAUUCUCCACAAGUUUACUUGUUGGAACUGGCCAUUGGAUUACUUGGAGGGUCCUUGGAAUUGUUUGUCAAAUUUAUU